RNAcentral lists this ribosomal RNA (1200 nucleotides) under Campylobacter jejuni. RNAcentral describes it as "partial 23S ribosomal RNA". It matches the Rfam family "Bacterial large subunit ribosomal RNA", at positions 1 to 1216 of the family's 2925-position model. The record is from RNAcentral. Lineage: Bacteria; Pseudomonadati; Campylobacterota; Epsilonproteobacteria; Campylobacterales; Campylobacteraceae.
AAAAAAGGUAAGCUACUAAGAGCGAAUGGUGGAUGCCUUGACUGGUAAAGGCGAUGAAGGACGUACUAGACUGCGAUAAGCUACGGGGAGCUGUCAAGAAGCUUUGAUCCGUAGAUUUCCGAAUGGGGCAACCCAAUGUAUAGAGAUAUACAUUACCUAUAUAGGAGCGAACGAGGGGAAUUGAAACAUCUUAGUACCCUCAGGAAAAGAAAUCAAUAGAGAUUGCGUCAGUAGCGGCGAGCGAAAGCGCAAGAGGGCAAACCCAGUGCUUGCACUGGGGGUUGUAGGACUGCAAUGUGCAAGAGGUGAGUUUAGCAGAACAUUCUGGAAAGUAUAACCAUAGAGGGUGAUAGUCCCGUAUGCGAAAAACAAACCUUAGCUAGCAGUAUCCUGAGUAGGGCGGGACACGAGGAAUCCUGUCUGAAUCCGGGUCGACCACGAUCCAACCCUAAAUACUAAUACCAGAUCGAUAGUGCACAAGUACCGUGAGGGAAAGGUGAAAAGAACUGAGGUGAUCAGAGUGAAAUAGAACCUGAAACCAUUUGCUUACAAUCAUUCAGAGCCCUAUGUAGCAAUACAGGGUGAUGGACUGCCUUUUGCAUAAUGAGCCUGCGAGUUGUGGUGUCUGGCAAGGUUAAGCAAACGCGAAGCCGUAGCGAAAGCGAGUCUGAAUAGGGCGCUUAGUCAGAUGCUGCAGACCCGAAACGAAGUGAUCUAUCCAUGAGCAAGUUGAAGCUAGUGUAAGAACUAGUGGAGGACUGAACCCAUAGGCGUUGAAAAGCCCCGGGAUGACUUGUGGAUAGGGGUGAAAGGCCAAUCAAACUUCGUGAUAGCUGGUUCUCUCCGAAAUAUAUUUAGGUAUAGCGUUGUGUCGUAAUAUAAGGGGGUAGAGCACUGAAUGGGCUAGGGCAUACACCAAUGUACCAAACCCUAUCAAACUCCGAAUACCUUAUAUGUAAUCACAGCAGUCAGGCGGCGAGUGAUAAAAUCCGUCGUCAAGAGGGAAACAACCCAGACUACCAGCUAAGGUCCCUAAAUCUUACUUAAGUGGAAAACGAUGUGAAGUUACUUAAACAACCAGGAGGUUGGCUUAGAAGCAGCCAUCCUUUAAAGAAAGCGUAAUAGCUCACUGGUCUAGUGAUUUUGCGCGGAAAAUAUAACGGGGCUAAAGUAAGUACCGAAGCUGUAGACUUAGUUUAC